GAUGAACGCUAGCUACAGGCUUAACACAUGCAAGUCGAGGGGCAGCAUGGUCUUAGCUUGCUAAGACUGAUGGCGACCGGCGCACGGGUGAGUAACACGUAUCCAACCUGCCGUCUACUCUUGGACAGCCUUCUGAAAGGAAGAUUAAUACAAGAUGGCAUCAUGAGUCCGCAUGUUCACAUGAUUAAAGGUAUUCCGGUAGACGAUGGGGAUGCGUUCCAUUAGAUAGUAGGCGGGGUAACGGCCCACCUAGUCUUCGAUGGAUAGGGGUUCUGAGAGGAAGGUCCCCCACAUUGGAACUGAGACACGGUCCAAACUCCUACGGGAGGCAGCAGUGAGGAAUAUUGGUCAAUGGGCGAGAGCCUGAACCAGCCAAGUAGCGUGAAGGAUGACUGCCCUAUGGGUUGUAAACUUCUUUUAUAAAGGAAUAAAGUCGGGUAUGUAUACCCGUUUGCAUGUACUUUAUGAAUAAGGAUCGGCUAACUCCGUGCCAGCAGCCGCGGUAAUACGGAGGAUCCGAGCGUUAUCCGGAUUUAUUGGGUUUAAAGGGAGCGUAGAUGGAUGUUUAAGUCAGUUGUGAAAGUUUGCGGCUCAACCGUAAAAUUGCAGUUGAUACUGGAUAUCUUGAGUGCAGUUGAGGCAGGCGGAAUUCGUGGUGUAGCGGUGAAAUGCUUAGAUAUCACGAAGAACUCCGAUUGCGAAGGCAGCCUGCUAAGCUGCAACUGACAUUGAGGCUCGAAAGU
RNAcentral lists this ribosomal RNA (743 nucleotides) under uncultured Bacteroidales bacterium. Its description in RNAcentral is "bacterial SSU rRNA". It matches the Rfam family "Bacterial small subunit ribosomal RNA", at positions 28 to 760 of the family's 1533-position model. Lineage: Bacteria; Pseudomonadati; Bacteroidota; Bacteroidia; Bacteroidales. The record is from RNAcentral.